GGCCGGGUAGCUCAGUAGGUAAGAUAAGAGCACUCGCCCUGUAAGCGAGGGGUCCCGGGUUCGAUUCCUGGUCUGGUCG
Molecule: transfer RNA, 79 nt
Filed under: Lingula anatina
Lineage: Eukaryota; Metazoa; Brachiopoda; Lingulata; Lingulida; Lingulidae
Rfam family: tRNA
About the family: Transfer RNA (tRNA) molecules are approximately 80 nucleotides in length.
Source: Rfam by way of RNAcentral